CCCGGCCUAUCAGCUUGUUGGUGGGGUCACGGCCUACCAAGGCGACGACUGGUAGCCGGCCUGAGAGGGUGACCGGCCACACUGGGACUGAGACACGGCCCAUACUCCUACGGGAGGUGCAUUGGGGAAUAUUGCACAAUGGGCGCAAGCCUGAUGCAGCGACGCCGCGUGAGGGAUGACGGCCUUCGGGUUGUAAACCUCUUUCAGUAGGGAAGAAGCUAGAGUGACGGUACCUGCAGAAGAGGCGCCGGCUAACUACGUGCCAGCAUCCGCGGAAAUACUUAGGGCGCAAGCGUUGUCCGGAAUUAUUGGGCGUAAAGAGCUCGUAAGCGGUUUGUCCCGUCUGCUGUGAAAGCCCGGGGCUCAUCCCCGGGUCUGCUUUGGGUACGGUUAGACUAGAGUGCAAUAUGGGAGACUGGAAUUCCUGGUGUAUCGGUGAAAUGCCCACAUAUCAUGAGGAACACCGAUGGUUAAUGCAGGUCUCUGGGCUGUUACUGACGCUGAGGAGCGAAAGCAUGGGGAGCGAACAGGAUUAGAUACCCUGGUAGUCCAUGCCGUAAACGUUGGGCACUAGGUGUGGGGGACAUUCCACGUUUUCCGCGCCGUAGCUAACGCAUUAAGUGUCCCGCCUGGGGAGUACGG
This 642-nucleotide ribosomal RNA is filed under the name uncultured actinomycete. RNAcentral's name for it is "bacterial SSU rRNA". It matches the Rfam family "Bacterial small subunit ribosomal RNA", at positions 232 to 885 of the family's 1533-position model. Lineage: Bacteria; Bacillati; Actinomycetota; Actinomycetes; Actinomycetales. The record is from RNAcentral.